Molecule: transfer RNA, 73 nt
Filed under: Cordylochernes scorpioides
Lineage: Eukaryota; Metazoa; Arthropoda; Arachnida; Pseudoscorpiones; Chernetidae
Description: tRNA-Thr
Source: RNAcentral
GUCCAAGGGCGGGAAUCGAACCCACAACCUUCUGCUUACCAGGCAGGUGCCAUGUCCACUAGGCUACCCUGGA